RNAcentral lists this ribosomal RNA (513 nucleotides) under Triticum aestivum (bread wheat). RNAcentral describes it as "partial small subunit ribosomal RNA". Lineage: Eukaryota; Viridiplantae; Streptophyta; Magnoliopsida; Poales; Poaceae. The record is from RNAcentral.
CAAGCCUCUGUUAGUACGUGUUCUAUUUGUGGCAUGGAGGAUGAAAAUACCUUUCAUACGCUUGUCUUGUGCCCGAAGGCGCGUGCGCUUCGCAUGGCCAUGAGGAACAUUUGGGCUCUACCUGCUGAGGAGGUUUUCAGAUAUACGGGGUAUGAUUGGUUUAUUGUUCUCCUGAGUCUAUUAAACCCUGUAAUGCGAGACCAAAUUAUAUUCUUAUGCUGGAGGGCCUGGCAUUUGAGAAAUGAUUUGAUCUUUGGUAAAGGAAAGGAAUCAGUUUCAGCUUCUGCUUGCUUUGUGGAGAAUUAUUGGGCGUCCUUUGGUGCAUAUCAUUCUCCAAUGCCGGUGGAUUUUAAAAAUAAAGGAAAAGGUCUGUUGGUCCGGAUUAGCGGAGUUCCUACUUCUCUGGAGGCGAGUAGUGGCUGGUCCCCGCCUCCUGCAGGUUGGUUCAUGAUUAAUGUCGAUGACAGCUUUGUGGAGUCCAUUAGAGGAGCCAGUGUGUGUUGGGGAAUGUAG